This 80-nucleotide transfer RNA is filed under the name Diaphanoeca grandis. Lineage: Eukaryota; Choanoflagellata; Acanthoecida; Stephanoecidae. The record is from RNAcentral.
AAUGCUUCUCACGCUCUCUGAUGAUGUGCGUGUGAUUCUAAUCAAACUUGCUGAUCGACUCAAUAAUAUGAGGACGUUGG